UCACCUUGCAGCUUCUCCAAAUGUAUUUGUUGAUGAUCGGAGGAUCUUCAUUCGACAAUACGGAUCAUGUUGCCGAAAUUCCGACGACGAUGAUUACAAGAAAGAGAAAGAGGAACAUGCUUGUUUUAGCCAUUUUCAUUUUUUCUUCUUUUUCGAUUGUGCAGUUUUAUAGAAACGGAUACCUUUUAUACAUUUCCACAAUCCUAUAUUUACCUACGAGAAUAUAUGAGUUAAAUAUACCCAAUUAAUUUAGAGUAAAAAAUAACCAUCUACAAUUUUUUUGAUCAUUUUACCCUUAUAAUUAAAUCGAUUUUUCGAAUAUACCAUUGUAAUAAAAUUAAGAAAUAACGGACAGAAAUUUUAGAGCAAAAUUAUUAUUAGUUGUUGUCGAGGUUGCGGAGAUGACGACAGUCGGAUUACGUGAAAAAAUAGCCGGAGAUGGCCGGACGCAAUCGUUGGAAGGGUUUUGGGGAAGAACUUAGGUUUAGAAUUAACAUGCAGUACUUAUCGUUACUACCGUUAAUACAAAAACGUGUUAUCUGAAAUUUAACUUUCAUUAAACUCAAUUAAUUAAAUCCAUUAUAUAUAGAGUUUAUGUAUAAUAAUACAAUUACAACAAUUACUAAACUAACUAAUAUUUUUGGACUCGGCCCAUACGACAGAAUUAGCCAAUUCCUUUUAUUGAAACAUUUACAGACGUAACCUACGACUUCAUAAAAACAUUUAUAUGUGUCUUGGUUAAUUUAUCUGCACAGUGAAACUUAAUAGGAAAUUAGCAUAAAAGAACAUACCUGUGGAUUUACUUAAUAAAUCUUUGAGAAGCAGUAGCUCUUCAUUGUUCAAAUUUGGCACAUUUGUUGAGAUGUUUGCUUGAUUGACAGUGCCACUAGUCCUUUUGUAGUUUUUUUUUUUUUUUUUUUUUUUUUUUUUUGGGAAACCUACUAUGUGAAAGCAAUUCUCCUUAAUGUAUCCAAAAAAUUUGCAAUUAUCACAAUAUAUGCUACUAUCUAACUUCUUUCCAUUUUUAUCAUAAAUUCCCUUUUUCUUAGUUCUUCUUUCUUCCCAAUAUAAUUUUCUUUCUUUUCAGUAGAGGGUAUCUUUUUCUUCUUGUUUACUGAUUUUAUGGAUUUCUUUCUUGAAGCCCUAAAAAACCUGAUAUUACCUUCGGAACUGGAAGAAUUUGAGGACGUGUAUUGCCUAUAAGUCUUUCUUGAAGAAAUUUCCAAAUCUUCAGAAUCUUUAGAGUGUUGCAUUGCGGAAUUGAAGUCCAGGUUGACAUCAUUAUCUCUGAUACCAUAUUAUCAGGUGUUGUCGAGGCUGCGGAGACGACGACAGUCAGAUUGCGUGAAGAAAUCGUCGGAGAUGGCCGGAUGCAAUCGUUGGAAGGGUUUUGGGAAAAAACUUAGGUUCAGAAUGAACAGUAUUUAUCGUUACUACCGUUAAUACAAAAACGUGUUAUCUGAAAUUUAACUUUCAUUAAACUCAAUUACUUAAAUCCAUUGUAUACAUAGUUUAUUUAUAAUAAUAAUACAAUUACUAAACUAACUAAUAUUCCUGGACUCGACCCAUACCACCGAAUUAGCCCAAUUCCUUUUAUUGAAACAUUUGCAGACGUAACCUUCGACUUCAUAGAAACCUUUAUAUGUGUCUUGGUUAAUGAUCAAGGUAACUAAUUACUCGAUUCAAGAGAUUUAACAAGAGAAAUGGCGUUACUUGUGUAACUCAUUGUGGUAUUCAUCCUUGAGAACACGAAGGUCUUGAUGUGUUUCCCAAGAACGCUCAAAUCAGGAGGAGUGUCGUCAUUAGAGAAUUCAACCAAACAUGUUCCCUGAUCUGUUACUGCUGUGCGAACCCACGACACGGCGUUGUACAAUAUGCGAUGCCUUCUCCCCCUCCUAGCAAUCCACCAAUGCUUCGACCUCCUUGUCUGAUUCAUCUAACAUAUCCAAAGCUAAUUCGACCAUUUCGAUGCAAACAUCCAUGAUAGCUGCCGUCAUUGGUUCGACAACAGACGUGUUUCUAGCUAUCGUGUUCUUUAUGGCAAGGAAGUUGUUGUUGACUUGAAUGAGGCGGUCACGAGUGAUAUUAAUAGCAGCGAUGGCGAGAUGGAUCGGAUCUUCAUCGAUGUAUGUGGCAUAUGAGACAAGGGAACCAUAGCAGAUGCGUUGAUACAUUGUCAUCUUGCAACUUCUCCAAAUGUAUUUGUUGAUGAUCGGAGGAUCUUCAUUCGAUAAUAUGGAUCCUGUUGCCGAAAUCCCGACGACGAUGAUUACAAGAAACAUGCUUGUUUUAGCCAUUUUAAUUUCUCCUUCUUCUCUUUCUUUUUCGAUUGUGCAGAUUGAUAGAAACUGUUAGCUUUUAUACAUUUCCACAAUCCUAUAUUUACCUACGAGAAUAUAGGAGUUAAAUGUAACCAAUUAAUUUGGAGUAAAAAAUAACAACCUACAAUUUUUUUG
Molecule: long non-coding RNA, 2456 nt
Filed under: Zostera marina
Lineage: Eukaryota; Viridiplantae; Streptophyta; Magnoliopsida; Alismatales; Zosteraceae
Description: long non-coding RNA (ZMAR_LNC000305)
Source: RNAcentral